RNAcentral lists this ribosomal RNA (2157 nucleotides) under Triticum aestivum (bread wheat). Its description in RNAcentral is "partial small subunit ribosomal RNA". The record is from RNAcentral. Lineage: Eukaryota; Viridiplantae; Streptophyta; Magnoliopsida; Poales; Poaceae.
UACCGGAAGUUCCUGUAGAAGGCGCUAGAGGGACGAGGUCGGCGCCGGCGGCGCCGGCGGCGGUGACCAGGAGUCGGGAGGCGAGGACCAGGAAGAGGAAGGGAGUGGUGACCGGAGGGAGGACGUAGGAGACGGGACAGGUGGAAGCAGAGCGGUGGAGAAAGGUGAGGGUGGCUAGGUAUGGAGGACUUGAAAGUAGUUCUAGUGUAGAGGUUGGUGUAUUUCAAGUUCGAGCUAAGGCGACUUGUGUUGAUGUAGUUCACCGCGUGCAAAAAGUGGAAGCAGGAGGUUGUUGUAGCGUAGUAGCUAGUGCAGGUCGCGAGUGGGGCCCGGCGUGGGCUGCGGAGGACCGAGCGGAGCCGUGUGGCCGGCUAUAACGCGGCCAAGCCACGCUCGGCAGAUUAGGGAAGUCUAGCACACGGAGUCCGGGCGCGACCUUCCCCGGGUGCGUGACGUUGAAAUGGAAUAGAUAAGUGACUGCGAGGGUAGACGAGCGAGAAGGAGCGCUUUGCGUUAAAAGAGGAUAAGAAGAAGGGGUAGCGUGAGCGUGGUCUGUGGUACCGGGAUCGGCAAGAUCACGGCGACGUGAGGCUCCGAUACCGACGACGGUGGCCGCUAGCAUGGUGUCUAGCUCGUGUACCAAAGAGAUAUGCUGCCGCUGUAUGAGUCCGUGUAGAAAAAGGCAAAAACGACGUUGGCCGUGGCGACCUUCGAGGUUCGUCGCGGUCUCUUCGACCUUGGCAGGACCUUAAAACGAUGUUGGUCCGUCGUCGCUCGGAUGGUAGCUGAGGGCCUAAACGAUGUUGAUCCUUCUACUACUUCACACCGGCCGCUGCUGCUCGACGUUUCAACAACGUUGGCCGUCGCUUUUUCGAUGGUGGCCACUGGCUUAAACGACGUUGGCCGCUCGCCGCCACGCUGCUCACCGCUGUACCCCACUGGUGCCACUGGUCUUAAAAAACGAUGUUGCCCACGACAAAAACGACGGUGGCGCCACUGGUGCAUGACGUUCGCCACGCCGCUGUCCCUCGACGCUGGAGCUACUGCCUAUGACCUUGGCCGUACUAGGUAGCGUACCUACGACGUUGGCAAGCCCCUUUUCGAGGUAGGAGCUACCUGUUUCGAAGUAGGCAGCCCCUUUUUCGAAGUUGGAAGUCCUAUCUUCAACGAAAGGUUGCCCUCUACUUGCCCUCAACGCUUACCUCCGCUACCCCGCACGCGUACCGUCUCCUACGGCGCUAGCACCGACCUCUGGACGCACGACCACCACGCCCGCGCGUUGCGUAUCCUCUUGCUCUAGAUGUCCCCCUUGUACUAGAGUGGGCGUGAGGAGACACGUACCGGACGCACGGCGAAGAGAACCCUCGAGAGAGGAUAUAACGUGUGCGCCUAGAGCAGCCUCUUGGACUCCCCAGCGGCAGCUUCCCCUUCCUCACCUUCUCCUGCGACCGUACGUUCGACAUGCUCCACGUCUAGGUCGAUUUCCAGACGGUGCUGGGGCGGCGGACCUCCUCGCCGCGGGCUGGGGCGGGCUGCGAGCUAGACUACGUGACGUCUCCGGUGCUAGGUUCGGCGGGGAGUUCGGCCCGCGUGCGUGUAGGUUCUAGACCGGGCUUUGCGGCGUCGUUCCGUGGCAGCCUCCUCCCACUCGACCUGUGCUGGUGUGGCUAGGUCUCGGGCUUCGGGGCUGCGUCUAGGUGCGUCGGGGCAGUUCGACGGCGGCUCGAGCUGGGACAUCGUCCGGUGGCGAAGGCGCCGAGGUGGUAUCCGAGUCGGUUGGGGGGAGGGGGCGCGCGUUCGUGCCGGUGGUCCUCGGGUACACGUCGGCACGGCGUUGGCCGGCUGCUUGCGCUUCGUCGAGUGCCCGCUCUGCCGGACCCUUUAGCUUAGCAGGUCGACGACGUCUAACCCCCGCCAGUGUAGCUACUUCCUCUUCUCUCUCUACCCCACUUGCCUUGCUUGCGGUACCCGACCCUCCCUCCCCCACCUAGUCUUCCCGAGCACCACACACGACCCCGGUGCCUAUCUUUCUUCUCGUCCUUCUUCUCCCUUGGCCUAGGAGAUUGUAGGAGUUCCUACAGUGUGCGUAAAGUGACGUCGAAGCACUGUAGGAAACUCCUACAAUCUCCUAGGUGAAAACUUUUUCUCGUCGCGACU